This 460-nucleotide ribosomal RNA is filed under the name uncultured bacterium. Its description in RNAcentral is "partial 16S ribosomal RNA". It matches the Rfam family "Bacterial small subunit ribosomal RNA", at positions 338 to 795 of the family's 1533-position model. The record is from RNAcentral.
CCUACGGGUGGCAGCAGUGAGGAAUUUUGGUCAAUGGGCGCGAGCCUGAACCAGCCAAGUAGCGUGAAGGAUGAAUGCCCUACGGGUUGUAAACUUCUUUUAUAAAGGAAUAAAGUCAGGCACGUGUGCCUUUUUGUAUCUACUUUUUGAAUUAGGAUCGGUUAACUCGGUGCCAGAAGCCGCAGUAAUACGGAGGCUCCGAGCGUUAUCCGGAUUUAUUGGGUUUAAAGGGAGCGUAAAUGGGUUGUUAAGUCAGUUUUGAAAGUUUGCUGCUCAACCGUAAAAUUGCAAUUGAUACUGGCAGCCUUGAGUACAGUUGAGGUAGGCGGAAUUCGCGGUGUAGCGGUGAAAUGCUUAGAUAUCACGAAGAACUCCGAUUGCGAAGGCAGCCUACUAACCUGCCACUGACAUUGAUGCUCGAAAGUGUGGGUAUCAAACAGGAUUAGAUACCCUUGUAGUC